This 492-nucleotide ribosomal RNA is filed under the name uncultured bacterium. Its description in RNAcentral is "partial 16S ribosomal RNA". It matches the Rfam family "Bacterial small subunit ribosomal RNA", at positions 29 to 507 of the family's 1533-position model. The record is from RNAcentral.
AUUGAACGCUGGCGGCAUGCUUUACACAUGCAAGUCGAACGGUAACAGGCCUUCGGGUGCUGCCGAGUGGCGCACGGGUGAGUAAUGCAUCGGAACGUACCCAGAGGUGGGGGAUAACGCAGCGAAAGCUGUGCUAAUACCGCAUGUGAUCUGAGGCUGACAGCGGGGGACCGAGCAGCAACGUUUGGCCUCGCGCCUUUGGAGCGGCCGAUGUCGGAUUAGCUAGUUGGUGGGGUAAAGGCCUACCAAGGCGACGAUCCGUAGCUGGUCUGAGAGGACGACCAGCCACACUGGGACUGAGACACGGCCCAGACUCCUACGGGAGGCAGCAGUGGGGAAUUUUGGACAAUGGGCGCAAGCCUGAUCCAGCAAUGCCGCGUGCGGGAAGAAGGCCUUCGGGUUGUAAACCGCUUUUGGCAGGAACGAAACGGUGUCCGCUAAUACCGGGCGCUAAUGACGGUACCUGCAGAAUAAGCACCGGCUAACUACGUG